RNAcentral lists this long non-coding RNA (1490 nucleotides) under Sus scrofa (pig). RNAcentral describes it as "lncRNA (ENSSSCG00000053086.1)". Lineage: Eukaryota; Metazoa; Chordata; Mammalia; Artiodactyla; Suidae. The record is from RNAcentral.
UCUCUAGUUCCAGCCAUGUUGCUACAAAUGGCAUUAGUUUGUCUUCUUUAUGGCUGAGUAGUAUUCCAUUGUAUAUAUGUACCACAUCUUCUUAAUCCAUUCAUGACAUUUAGAUUGUUUCCAUGUCUUGGCUGUUGUGAAUAGUGCUGUGAUGAACAUAGGGGUGCAUGUAACUCUUUUGAAUGAAUGUUUUGUCCAGACAUAUGCCCAGGAGUGGGAUUGCUAUAGAAUGGGAAACAAAUCUUUGCAAAUGAUGCCACAGACAAGGGUCUAAUCUCCAUAACAUACAAACAAUUCAACCACAAAAAAAAAACCAACAACCCAACUGAAAAAUGGGCAGAAAACCUAAACCUAAAUAGGCAUUUCUCCCAAGAAGACAUGGAUGAGCAACAGGUACAUGAAAAAUGCUCAGUAUCACUAAUUAUUAGAGAAAGGCUAUCAAAACUACAAUGAGGUACCACCUCACACCAGUCAGAAUGAUGGUAAUUAACAAGUCAACAAAUAACAAAUGCUGGACAGGGUGUGGAGAAAAGAGUACCCUCCUUCACUGUUGGUGGGACUGUAAAUUGUUACAGCCACUAUGGAAAACAGUAUGGAGGUAACUCAGAAAACUAAAUAUAGAACUACCAUGUGAUCAUUAGUUAUUUUUUAACAUUUACUUUUAUCAUUGUAUUUCAAAAUAAAAAUGCAACACAAAGAAAUAAAUGUCAAAAAUAACAGUAUAGAUCUUUAAUAGCAAAGAGUUUUGAAUUUUGUUGAGCAAAAUACCAAGUACCAAAUUUGGAACGUUAGUAUGAUCUCAUGUUUGACAAAAUAGGUAUUGUUAAUAACACCUACCACUUAUUGAACACCUUUUCUGUUGUUGGCAUUGUCCUAGGUGAUUUACUUAUAUUAUCUUGUUUAAUCCUGAUAUAAAUAAUGAUACGGUAUAUUUUAAUAAUAUAUAUCAUUUAUCUCCAUUUUACAUGUGUGAAAACCAAGGCAACUUAUUCAAGGUCACAUAGUCAGUAUGUGUGAGAGCCAGGAAGCUCUUGAUUCCAGCAACGAUCUGCACAUUGGUACACUGCCCCUAACAGAUUUAGGGAAAGAUACAUGAAAAUAGUAAUUGCUAUCUGUGAGCAUGGACUUUUUUCUUUUGGCCUAUCUGCAUUUAAAAAUUUUUUUCAGUGACUUUAUUUAAAGGAAAGAAGAAGGGAAAGUAAAAAGAAAGUGAGAUAAGAAAAGAAAUGGAAGGAAAAGGGAAGGGAAGGGGGAGGAAGAGGGAAGAGAAGGAAGGAAGAGAAGGAAUGCUGUGGUGGCUGCAAGACGGUGUGUGUAUACAGCUCUGUAGCAUCAUGCCUUGUCUUGGGGUGGCAUUGAAUGCAGUCCAACACAGAGGAUGGGCAGAGGAAAAUGUCCUUCAGAACACAAGUGUUUGGAAAAGGAACUUUUGCAUAUUUAGAACACUGUGUUCUUUCCAGCUGAACUGGGUUGCAAUUUAUAUUGGAAUU